This is a long non-coding RNA of Cervus elaphus (red deer), 10305 nucleotides long. RefSeq lists it as uncharacterized. The record is from RefSeq and is a predicted model, not a curated record. The transcript is spliced from 4 exons. Lineage: Eukaryota; Metazoa; Chordata; Mammalia; Artiodactyla; Cervidae.
GAGCACAUAUGCACAUAUCUUUAAUUUCUUUAAAGGGAGUUCACUACUGUGUGAUUAAAUUAAUAAUUGUUGUCUUUUACUAUCUUAGAUUUGGAAGAAGUUCCCUUCUAAAUACAUACUAUUUACAACAAAUUCAGAUGUAAGCAGUCAGUCAUCUAUUGAGAGAAUUCUAUGAAAAUGUCUUGCCACUGUUGUUCAAAAGCAUGUUAUUUUUUACCUCUUCUGUGAAGGGAAAUUUAAAAAGUAAUGUUCAGCAAUUUCAAACAAAAUGGAACACCACAUUGAUUGAUUUUAAAACUAUUAAUACUUCUUUGUACAUACAUAGUAUUUUACUUUUCUGGUUGGGUUACUGUGUGCUUCAGAGACCUUCCUGUGGUUUACUCAGCCUCUGUGUUAGUGAAAUCUGAAAUUUGCAAGACUUCCAGGACAAGGCUAAGGGAGAUUCAGCUGGUGUGAGUCUUAUGAUGUGACUGCCGCUGUACAAAUGUAGAAGGAAACUGAGGCAGAAGAGGAACAGCUUCAACAGAAAAACACAGGAUGUUGGUGUUUUUUCUUUCAGUGAGUUACACCCGUCAUCCUGAAGGAGAAUUAUAAUCCAAAGGAGUGACAGAACUGUAAGUAUUCAUUUCAUUAUUUUUUAUGUUGUUUUAAUUCAUACUUGACCAAGCAGUUAGAAAAGGCUGAUUCUAGAUUGAUGAAACACAUAAAUAGGUAUCUGUACAGAAAUACACAGUCAUACUUGACUUUAAAGCCCCCAAUUUAACCCUUAAUUUGAUAACACCUAAGGCUUUUGCAACAAGUAUGAUGGUGGCUCUCUUGUAUAUUUCUGGAGCAGUAACUGCCUUUUAUAUUUUGGUUUAUUUUUAAUGCUAAGUACAAAAUCAAAACAUUUAGAUAUAUUUAACAAGUAUAUAAACUGAAGUUAAAGCCUUUGAAUAAGACCUGUCAACAGAGAAGUAGACUACUUUCAGCACUGGAGAUAUUUGGAUAUUACCUAGACCCUGGAUAAGAGAACUUACUACUAAAUUUUUCUUCACUUUUAAAUAACACAAUAAGGUUCCAUAAAAGAUACUUUCCGAAACUAACACAAUAAGAUUCUCUAAGAGAUACUUUCAGAAUCACAUCAGUUAAAAUGUGCUCUCACUGUACUUUAGCUCCAGGUUUGAUUUUAAUAUUUUCAUUGGUUUGACCAUUGCCUAUGACAGAGCAAGCUGUACAGUUGGUACUCGAUAAAUAUAUCACAGAGCAGAGCCACUUAAAGAGUCUUUCCGUCCAGAUUAUCCUAGUGCAUAGAUUCACAAUUAAUUUGGAAUCCCGACAGCAUCUUAUCCGUUUGAAUGUGUGGAACAGUACCAAAAUGAACAAGUACCACAUUCUUUCUAUAAAUGGAAAAAUCUUAAAUGUGUAUUUCUUAUAAAUUACCACAGUUAGUGGCAGUAAUAAUAGUUUGGAUAAUGAAUGACUUUCAAUAAAAUUUACUCACUAAAAGAUACUGAGGAAUAUAUUUAAUAGUUCAUGUGACUACUGUAUAUGGCAGUCCAAAUAGGUGUUAGAAUGACGUCCAGUCUCUUAAGAUACCAUAAAAUAUUUACAUGUUUACAAAUCUCUCCAAGCCAAAUGAGGUUAAGCAGCUUUCAAAAGGCAGAACUGGUGAGAAGGGGAAGAAAGUGGUUAAAAUUCUAUUAGUCACAGCCUCUUGUUUCCAGCCUGUGAAUAUGGUAGUUCCUAAAAGCAGUGACUAUUCCUCUGAAUAUCACUUUGAUGCCUCAAGAUAGUUCUUAAUUCCUCUAGCAGCAUCACUGGAUACUUACCCCUCCAGAAGUAUUGGGUUUUAUUUAACCAACAGUCAAGGUUUCAGGGAAAGCCUUUUUCUUUCCCCUUCCCCAAACCAAACCUGAGUUUAAGUAUCAUUUGUAUGAGAACAUGCACAUAAUCUUCCAUCAUUCCUUUCUCAACACCAAAAAGAAGUACUGAUUAUUCUUAGAAAAGAUUAUUUUUUAUUUAAUGCAGUGAAUAGUCAACAUUACCAGUGAACCAAACAUCUGAAAUUUGAUAGAAUGAAACAAAGAGAAAUCAAUCAUCUGUUAAUGGUUACUAUCCACAUCUGAGGUGGCAGGAUAUCAGGGUUGUAGACAUUUGAGUAGACAGUGUCAGCACAGAACAUAAAUCUCACACAAAGUAUAAUCAAAAGUUACUUCAAACAUUAUACUAUCAGUAAACUUUCUGUAAUAACAUCAGCUUCAUGGAGAAUAAUGUCUUAGCAACAAAUAAUGAUGGUAUGUGGACAUAAGCAUGUUGUCAUAAACAUGAUGCACUAAAUAGAACAUACUGAGGUCAAGGCCUUUCUGUAGAAAGGGAAUUUAAUUAACAUUCUUUUAAGCACAGUGUAAGAAACAGAUCAAAAUAGUUCUAUCAUAAGAAAUAGUAUUUAACAACAUAGCUUUAAAAUAAAAAUGCUUUAAAAAUCAACUUUGAGAUUAAAUUUAUUUUUGAAGUAUUUUCUUUUAGAGUGAAAUAUAUAUUUCUUGCUCUAGCUUUUCUACAUUUUUCCAGCAUAACCCUCACCUUUACCCUAUCCCAGUACAUUGUUAAUAAAUAGUACAAAACACUUGUCUGCAGCAAUAUCAACCAAACUUAGUCCCCUACCAAGUCAGGGAAGUAAGACAUCCUCACCAAGUUUUCUCUAUAGAGGUAUACUCCCUUGAUAGAGCAGGAAGCUAGGUAUAAAAACUACAUGAGAGUCUUGGGAAUGCAGUUUUUAAGUAUAGGUUCUGUGGUAAUAGUGAAACAUUUUUAAAGGCAAACUUUCCCCUCCCCAUAAGCAGUUUAUUUUACAAAAUAGGUUUCCAUGCAUUCUAAUUUUCAAGAAUGAUUAUUUUUUUCUAAAAAUGAAUGUAAUGAGACACUGGCAUAUCACUUAGUACACUGCAUUCUCCUCUACAUUAAAAUUGACACUAAUAACAAAAAUCAUAAAUGCAUUAAAACAUUUCAGUAACCUAAUGAGAAAGUAGAUAUAUUUUUUUUCUGUGAAAUACUUGCAUAUUAAAUAUUUUUAAAUGCACAGAGGCAUAAUCUGACAUCAAACCAAUGUGAAUUUAAUUUGCCAAAUUUUUGACAACUGAACUGGGUUGCUAAUUUGUUGACUUGGUACAAAUUAACAGUGGUUGGUAUAAAAAUUCAUUUAUAAACAUGGCAGUAUUUUUUGUAUCGUCCUGUAGAGAUUUUAAAGUUUUAGAUGGAAUGAUAGAAGAUUUGAAAAUUUUCUUUGUAGGAUUUCAAGGUAUGGAAAAUUCUCUUGUUGAGGUGACUAUACUUUCAUUCAUUAGCUUAAAACCAGCCUAGUCAUAGCUAAAUAAUGUGCACAGGAAUGAAUAUCAGGAUCUGAAACUAUGUAAGUUGAAAUGCAUCUGUUCCGUUAUUCAAGUUCUGGGAUUCCCCCCUCCCUUUUGAAAUGUAUAAAACAUAGAAAACUGUAAUGGAUUAUUUUUCAGAUAAAAAAUAGUCACAUAAAAAAAAAACUUUAAAUUCAAAUUGACAUUUACAUUUUAUGUAGAUUUAAUCAGAGCACAGCUGAGCAUUUAAUCUAAUAUUCUAGUUUUUCCACUUGUAAUUAGAGAAGUAUGUAUCUCCCAAUGUUAACCAUUCUUACAUUUGUUGUUCCAGUGUUAUAUUAUUAUCCACAACUAGCAAGGCUUUUAGGCAGCAAUAGCUAAACCUUUAUCAAACUGUUUCUGUACAAUGGAAGUAUAUUUUCAAAGACAUACGCCUUUGUACACUAUUUACAAAUUCUCUCAAUCAUGAUAAAAAGGCAAAAUAAAUAAAAAACAGAAAGAAAGGAAGUGCUGCUGAGGCUGAAGGCUUUUUCUUUUAUCCUCCCAAACAGAUGCUGGCCUCCCCAGUGCUGGGAGCUGGCUAGCCAAGAUUGUUUUUCUUCCUUUUACAUGGGCUAUGAGAAGGAUCUGGUUUCAGUUCUUGGUAUUGCACCUGUUUAAACAGUUCAGAGAAAGGCUGGUCAGGUGGCCACUUUCUGGCAAAGGAAGGAAAAGCAAAGGAAUUGAGAGCCUGUGCUUGGGGGAAAAGUGCUCACUCUGGAAGCUAUAUGAGACCUGCAGCUGGGAUGCAGAAAACAAUAAAAAGACAGAGCAAGAGUCAAGGGAAAUCUUGCCAGAAACUAGACGAGAGCCCUGAUAGGAACUUUGCUAACAGGCCAGGAUCUCCACUACCCAUACACCCAUACACAUGUAAUAUUAAAAGCUGAAGCAUCUCCAUCUAUUUUGCAGAGCCGAAUAAUGGUUCUUUGCAGUUUAUUAUGUGCUUGUUUAAUAUAGGCUUCAUCUCCAUCCAGCCCACCUUCGGGUCAGAUACCAAAUCAAAGACUCAACAGAAGCAAAGGAAAAAAGUACUGUUGCAACCCAGCUUCAAUAGUUUGAAUAAAAACAUUUCUCAUUUUACUCUGAAAAUAUUUAAUGAUUAACGAGCACUAAUUAACCUCAAAGGAUUAAGAUAUGCCCCCAUUUUCAAAAAUCAGUUACUUUUGUAUGGCUGAGUCAAUCUGCUGUGCACCAGAAACUAUCACAACAUUGUUAAUCGUCUGUAUUCCAAUAUAAAAUAAAAAGUUUUAGAAAAAAAUCAGUUACUGUCCCCCCCCCCUUUAUUGAUCUCUAAAAUAGCCAUCUUUAAAACUCACCUAAUUCAUGCAGUUUAUUUAGGGAAGUGUUUUUCUCAGUAUCUGCUGGCACACUUUGCUUUCAUCAUCUAAUAUCCCUAAUUCCUCCUUGAGGUAAUGGUGACUUCCCUUCACAAAUUCCAGCUGAAUCUUCCUUGGAGGAGGACUGCCCUCCCUCCCUGACACCCCGGUAGGUUCUGUAUGCAAUGCUCUCUCAUUCCCCAUCUUCUCUAUAAGUUUCUUGUUGGAUAACACCCCAACUGGACUAAUCCCUGAGUGGCAAAAUCUUCUACAGGCUUUAUUAACUUUACCUGGCUCUUCUAAGACCUUCAAAAUUAAAUGGAUAUGAACGUGAAAACUCAAUGCCACACUACAUUAAAAAUGAUAAAAGCUUAAGAGAGAUUGCAGGUUUAUCUCCAGACCACCGCAGUAAAGUCACGUGAAUAUUUUGGUUUCCUAGUGCAUAUAAAAGUUCUGUUUAUGAUGUAUGGAAGUCUGUUAAGGAUGCAAUAGCAUUACAUCUAAAAAAGAAAUACCUUAAUUUAAAAGUGUUUCAUUGCUAAAAAAAAAAAAAUGCUAACCAUCAUCUGAACCUUCAGUAAGUAUUAAUCUUUUUACAACAGUAACAUCAGUGAUCACAGGAACAUAACAAAUAUAAUAAUGAAAAAGUUUGAAACAUUUCAAGAAUUACCAAAAUAUGACACACCCACAGUGAGCAAAUACUGUUGGAAAAAUGGUACCAAUGGACUUGCUCAAUACUGGGUGGCCACAGACCUUCAUUUAGUAAAAAAGCAAAUAUCUGUGAAGCCCAAUGAAAUGAGGUAUGCCUGCAGUAAUAAUUAAUAAUGAAAUCUACAUACCACUUGCACAUCUGAAGGGACUCUGGAAAGGAAAUCGAGUAGUUCAUUGUUAUCAAUUGCAUACGGAUUCCGAAGCUUUUUUGUAAAUUUAUUGAUUCCUGAAAAAGUGACAGAUCAAAUAUUACUGACACCAAUAUAGUUUGGAGUCCAAAGGCACAUUUCUGUCAAAAAAGUGUUGUGAUUUGAAGAUGUAGGUUAAGCUGCCUUGAUUUCAACCUUGACUGACUGAGCCAGAAAACCCAGUUUCCUCCCUCCCUCUUCUCCCUUCCUUCCACCUUCCAGCUCAAUGGCUGCUCUGUUUUUUCUCUUUGUGCUUCAGUGGCUUCUUCCCAGCAGGAAAGGCUUUCUAUUUGGGAAACAAAGGGCACAAGCAGUGACCUAUCUUGCCUUUCCCCUCAAAUACUUAGAAGCUUUUUGUAGUUUUUCAUCUGUGAUAAAACUUGUCUACCCUACAUUUUGGAUUGGGAUUAAGGCAAGAAGUCUGACUUAACUGGUUCCCCCUUUUCAGAAGAUACACUUUUUUUUUUUCAGUGGUGGGGAAGUGUUGCUGUUAUGCAAAUUCAUGUUUGAAAAUGCAUGACCUGGUGUUUUGUUUUUUUAAUUUUAAACUGACCUGGAAUUAGAAAAGGUUUACCACCAGCUUUUUUAAAAAAACAUAAAAAGCUUUGAAGAUGGCGACGCAUAAACAUCCUAAACCCAGCUCUUCCCACCAAUACACGGGAUUUACAGCUGCAUAUGGAACAACUGCCUCUGAGAAUACCUGAAAACUGGCUGAGUGAUGUCUGCACACUAACCACGAGAGAAGGCCCGCAUCGAAGCAGGAACCAUCUCUCCCCAGCUACCUUGCUUCAGCCAGUUGGUACCAUCUUCAUGCCCACCCUCUGCCAUGCUCCAGAGCACCAGCAUCUCCCUGAGGGGAGCUGUCACACAUCGGGUGCCCGAGGUUUUACGUCUAUGAGGCAGUUCAAGAUGGCAACCUAGGACAAUCAUUAACUCACCUCUUUGAGACAGUCUCACCAUAAACCCCAUGCCCAGUGCAGGUACCCAGCCAUCAGGAGGAAGCUCACAAGCCCAGAGCUUCUUUCUGAGUAGCUAGGAGAGAAGUAGCUUUUGUACACCACAUAAGGCACCUCAGCUUUUAAGACCUGCAUCUGAGAGAUGAGCCCUCAAGGCACCUGGCUUUCAAAACCAACAGGCUUGCAACCAUGGAACCCAGAGGCCUAUAGUGAAAGAAAAUGGCUCUUAAAGAGCUCGUGAGCACUCACUCAUCACAGGACCCAGCACAGAAGUGCAACUCUCUGAAAGGUGCCCAGGUUCUAUGUGAAGAAAGCCCAUCUACUAAUAUUAAGGUGUUGGCCAAAGAGGCGGGAACCUGCUGGGAUACUCCCUGGGGAUGGAAGCUCCUGAGUCCCAUCUUUGAGCUCUCGCUGCACUGCACUUCAGAGCACCAGUAUCUCUCGGAGGGGAACUUUCACACCUGUCUGGUGUCCUGGGUUUUGUGGCUGCCACCCAGGGGGAUACCCCUUGAGUGUUUGGCUCCAAAGGCUAGGGGACUUGUAUUCCUGGGUCUGUGGCACUAUGACAUUUGGAGAGACGGUUCUUGGCAGACCACCACUCCCAGGGAACCAGACAACAGACUGAGACACACCCCCUAGUCUUUCCAAGAAGGGGCCUAUUUGCUUGUCUGGGAGCUUUGGCCUGAGGGGCAGGAUUCUGGGCCGGCCUGCGUGGAGGAGCCUCUGGAAGGGCCGUCAGGAAACAGUGGCGGCUGGAGGACGCAGUGGUUGCCUUCUCCAGCCGGCCAGCAUCUCCCAGAGCCUUGUCUGGUGCCCGUUUUGGCAACUGCUCUCAGGAGACACCCCUACAUCCCUAGUUCUGGUGGCCAGAGGGCUGAUGUUUGCAGGUUCUCAAGGACUGUGACCAAUGGAGAAAAGAGUUCUGACACCCUCAGGGCACAGCAAGAAGUAGAGACCAAGGAGCUCAGCCCGUCUGUGAAACAGGCCUAUAAGCUAAUGGCUGCAGCUGAGGGGCAGGCUUCUAAUUAAAUACACAUCUAAGGGCUAACUGUGAACCCUUCUAGACACCUCAGAGGGCUCCCUUACACAUGUCUGGUGCCCCAGUUUUUGCAGCUGCCACCCAGGGGAUGCCCCUCAACCACCUUACUCUGGAGGUCAGGGGAGCUGGUGUGCCUGCCUGGGUCCACUAGAACUGUAACACCCAAGAGACAGGUCUCAGCAAGCUGCCCCCAGCAGGGCACUGCACAAACGGGAGACUGCAGCGCACCCCCAGGGUUUCUAGAAAGACGCCUAUUUGCUUGUCCUGGAGCUUUGGCCUGAGGCGCCACUUUCAGGUCUGGCACACAUCUGAAGGCCUGCGGAGGGACGCUCAGGGAACAGAGGCCGGGGUGCUGUCAUCACCACUCUCCUCCAGCACGGCUCAUCAGUUGUCUCCCAGAAAGCUUACAAACUCACCCGAAGCCCCGAUUUUUGUGACUGUCACCCAGGGGACACCUCCAGAUCCUCUGGUGGCCAACUGGGCUUACACUUGCAGCCCCACUGUGUGUAUUUGCUUUAAAAGCUGCAGCCCACAGGGCUGACUCUCAGUGAGCCUGAGUCUAGGUGCUGACUGAGCGCCUCCUGUUCGAGACGCUGACAGGUCUUGGCACAUCCUCAACUCCUGAGAGCUAUUAAAACAGGCUGCCCAGACCGUCAGAAAGGUUUGAGAGACAACUAAGCCAAGGCAAAGUUGAAUGAUCUCCUCCACAAGACCACGACUUCCAGGCUGGGAGGGGUGGCUCUUUUGUCUAACGCAUAGGAACCUACAUAGAGAUUCAAGCAAAAUGAGGGACAUGUUUCAAAUGGAAGAACAGGAUAAAUCUCAGGGGGAAAAGUCCUUCAUGAAACAGAUGUUAUUUACCUGAUAAGAAGUUCAAAGUCAUGCUCAUAAACAUGCUCACCAAAUUCAGGAGAAUAUGGAUGAACACAGUGAGUACGUCAACAAAGAAAGAACAGAUGAAGUACCAAAUAGACACAGAGCUGAAGCAUAAACUCAUUGAACUGAAAAAUACACUAGAGGGAUUCAACAGCAGGCUAGAUGAAAAAGAACACAAAGGAUCAGUGAAACAUACUAACAUUUGCACUAUAGGGAAUCACAGACGAGAGAAAAGAGCACAGGAAAUGUGUUUUAAGAAAUAAUGGUUGACAACUUCCCUAAUCUGGGGAAGGAAACACAUACAGAUCGAGAAAGCCCAGGGAGUUCCAAAUAAGAGAAACCCAAAGAGACUAACAUCAAGACAUAUAAUUAAAAUAUGAAAAGUUAAGGACAGGUAUAAUGAAAGUAUCAAGAUACUAACAACUUGUCAUGUACAAAGAACCUCCAGAAGACUGGGCAGAUUUUUGAGGAGAAACUUUGCAGACCUGAAAGAGAUGGCAUAAUGUAUUCAAAGCGCUGAAAGAAAAAGAAGAAAACUCGCAAACAGGAAUACUACUCAGCUAAGCUAUCCUUCAGAAUUGAAAAAGUGUUUUCCAGACAAGCAAAAGCCAAGAGUUUAUCACUAAACUGGCCUUACGACAAAUGUCAAAGAGAUUUCUUUAAGCCAAAAAACCGUGCAGUAAGUAGCAAGAAGACACAAGAAAGCACAAGUGUCACUAAUAAAGGUAAAUACAUAAUAAAUGUAGUGGGUUAAUCAUUUAUAAAACCAUUAUGAAGAUUCAACAACAAAUAUAGUAGAAAUAACUAUACUAUAAUAAUUAGUUAAGGGAAACACAGCAUAUUAAUUUAAAAAGGGUAAAAUGAGCUAUGAAACAUGAGAAAACAGUAAAAAUCUAGAACUUUCAAAUGCAUUCAAACUUAAGUUUUUAUAAGUAAGCCUCGCAGUUACCAUAUAGCAAAAGCCUACAGUAGAUAUACAGAGCAAUAAUUACUUUAAAUGAACUAAAUUUUCCAAUCUAAAUACAUAGGGUGUCUGAGUGUAUUAAAAAUAACCAGCCUCUUCUAUAUGUUGUCUUUGAGAGAUGAAGUCAGAUGUAAGGACACACGAGACUAAACGUCAAGGGAUGAAAAAAGAUAUUCCAUGCAAAUGGAAACCCAAAGAAAGCAAGGGAAGCUAUAACUCAUAUAAGACACUUUAAAACAAUCUAAAUUGGAAAGGAAGAAGUAAAACUGCUGCUAUUUGCAGAUGAUAUGACUUUAUAUAUAGAAAAUCCUAAACACUCCAUCAAAAAACUGCAAGAACUAAUAAAUGAAUUCAGUAAAGUUUUAGGAUACAAAAGGACUGUAUAAAAUGCUAUUGCAUUUCUAUAUACUACAAUGUACUACCAGAGAAAUUAAUAACAAAUUUAAUCAAGAAAGUGAAAGACCUAUACACUGAAAAUUGCAGGACACUGAUGAAAGAAACUGAAGACCAAACAAAUAAAUGAAAAAGUAUUCCCUGCUCAAGGAUUAUAAGAGUUAAUAUUGUUAAAUGUUCAUACUAUCCAUAGCCAUCUACAACUUCAGUACAAUUCCUUUCAAAAUUCCAAUGGCAUAUUUUAAUAGAAACAAUCCCACAAUUUGUAUGGAACCAUAAAAGUCCCCAAAUUGCCAGAGCAAUACUAAAGAAUAAAUCUGGAGCUAUCACACUCCCUGCUUUCAAACUAUAUUACAGGCCUCUCAUAACUAAACAGUAUGGUAUUGGCAUAAGAACAGAUGACAUGAAUCAGUGGAACAAGAUAGCCCAGAAAUAAACCCAUGCAUAUAUGGUCAAUUACUUACAACAAAGGAGCCAAGGAUAUACAAUGG